Molecule: ribosomal RNA, 715 nt
Filed under: uncultured Propionibacterium sp.
Lineage: Bacteria; Bacillati; Actinomycetota; Actinomycetes; Propionibacteriales; Propionibacteriaceae
Description: bacterial SSU rRNA
Rfam family: Bacterial small subunit ribosomal RNA
Source: RNAcentral
AACGGAAAGGCCCUGCUUUUGUGGGGUGCUCGAGUGGCGAACGGGUGAGUAACACGUGAGUAACCUGCCCUUGACUUUGGGAUAACUUCAGGAAACUGGGGCUAAUACCGGAUAGGAGCUCCUGCUGCAUGGUGGGGGUUGGAAAGUUUCGGCGGUUGGGGAUGGACUCGCGGCUUAUCAGCUUGUUGGUGGGGUAGUGGCUUACCAAGGCUUUGACGGGUAGCCGGCCUGAGAGGGUGACCGGCCACAUUGGGACUGAGAUACGGCCCAGACUCCUACGGGAGGCAGCAGUGGGGAAUAUUGCACAAUGGGCGGAAGCCUGAUGCAGCAACGCCGCGUGCGGGAUGACGGCCUUCGGGUUGUAAACCGCUUUCGCCUGUGACGAAGCGUGAGUGACGGUAAUGGGUAAAGAAGCACCGGCUAACUACGUGCCAGCAGCCGCGGUGAUACGUAGGGUGCGAGCGUUGUCCGGAUUUAUUGGGCGUAAAGGGCUCGUAGGUGGUUGAUCGCGUCGGAAGUGUAAUCUUGGGGCUUAACCCUGAGCGUGCUUUCGAUACGGGUUGACUUGAGGAAGGUAGGGGAGAAUGGAAUUCCUGGUGGAGCGGUGGAAUGCGCAGAUAUCAGGAGGAACACCAGUGGCGAAGGCGGUUCUCUGGGCCUUUCCUGAUGCUGAGGAGCGAAAGCGUGGGGAGCGAACAGGCUUAGAUACCCUGGU